UCUCCGUACGGGAAGGAUGAGAAGCUUCGACUAAGGUUCGAUUCGAGCGCAGCGAGAAAGCGUUGCCGCAGGCAACGACCCGAAGGGCGAAGCGCGCAGCGCUGAGUAAUCCUUCCCCCACCACCA
This 126-nucleotide small RNA is filed under the name Salmonella enterica subsp. enterica serovar Enteritidis. RNAcentral's name for it is "partial RtT sRNA". It matches the Rfam family "RtT RNA". Rfam says of the family: This family represents a bacterial cis-regulatory element known as RtT RNA. The exact function of RtT is unknown although it is thought that it may be involved in changing the cellular response in relation to amino acid starvation. The record is from RNAcentral. Lineage: Bacteria; Pseudomonadati; Pseudomonadota; Gammaproteobacteria; Enterobacterales; Enterobacteriaceae.